GGCGGGGUAGCUCAGGGGUAGAGCAGCGGGGUCAUAAUCCGUAGGUCGGGGGUUCAAAUCCCUCCCCCGCUACCA
RNAcentral lists this transfer RNA (75 nucleotides) under Planctomycetaceae bacterium. RNAcentral's name for it is "tRNA-Met". It matches the Rfam family "tRNA". From Rfam's summary of the family: Transfer RNA (tRNA) molecules are approximately 80 nucleotides in length. Lineage: Bacteria; Pseudomonadati; Planctomycetota; Planctomycetia; Planctomycetales; Planctomycetaceae. The record is from RNAcentral.